AUUCAAAUUAUGAGUCCCAAAUAGAAUGAAACGCGCGUCGUGGAU
Molecule: non-coding RNA, 45 nt
Filed under: Schistosoma mattheei
Lineage: Eukaryota; Metazoa; Platyhelminthes; Trematoda; Strigeidida; Schistosomatidae
Source: RNAcentral